ACACAGAAGUCUGAAGAGACUGAUAGAGGAGGGAGACAGGGAUGGGCAGAAGACAACUAGAGGUCUGAAGAGACUGAUAGACGGGAUGGGCAGACAGGGAUGGGCAGAAGACAACUAGAGGUCUGAAGAGACUGAUAGAGGAGGAGACAGGGAUGGGCAGAAGACAACUAGAGGUCUGAAGAGACUGAUAGAGGAGGAGACAGGGAUGGGCAGAAGACAACUAGAGGUCUGAAGAGACUAAAGAAAGAAGGAGAGUGAGAAAGAGACUUCUACCUGAGACUGAACUGUCUGCACACACACACACACACACACACACACACACACACACACACACACACACACACACACACACACACACACACACACACACACACACACACACACACACACAGUCCGUUAGCGCUGACAGUGCAGGGCUUAGUUGCAUGUGACAGCAGGAUGAGCAGGGCCUGGUUCCCAAGGAAACAGCAGAGUCAGCCAUGACACACAAAUCUAUGAUUGCUGACUGUCAUGACAUUUUGUAUAUAUUUGUAUUUGUAUUUUAUUGGUUAUGUAUGUGUUUUUAUGUCUGAGUGCUUGCGUCUAAAACAUUGGUUCAACAUGUGCCAUUGUUAGAAUAGUGAUUUUCGAUGGAUGGCGCAGACCUGGGUUCAGAUACAUGUGUAUUGAGUAUUUGUUAUUCAAAUAUUUUGUUUUGUGUAUUUAAGUAUUUUCAAAUAAACAGCUCAAAACAAGUA
Molecule: long non-coding RNA, 737 nt
Organism: Oncorhynchus tshawytscha (Chinook salmon)
Lineage: Eukaryota; Metazoa; Chordata; Actinopteri; Salmoniformes; Salmonidae
Exons: 2
Source: RefSeq, a predicted model, not a curated record